GACGAACGCUGGCGGUGUGCUUAACACAUGCAAGUCGAACGGUAAGGCCCUUUCGGGGGUACACGAGUGGCGAACGGGUGAGUAACACGUGAGUAACCUGCCCUCAUCUCUGGGAUAACAGUCGGAAACGGUUGCUAAUACUGGAUAUGAGCUUGCAAGGCAUCUUGUGGGUUGGAAAGAUUUUUUUGGUUGGGGAUGGACUUGCGGCCUAUCAGCUUGUUGGUGAGGUAGUGGCUCACCAAGGCUUCGACGGGUAGCCGGCCUGAGAGGGCGACCGGCCACAUUGGGACUGAGAUACGGCCCAAACUCCUACGGGAGGCAGCAGUGGGGAAUAUUGCACAAUGGACGGAAGUCUGAUGCAGCAACGCCGCGUGCGGGAUGACGGCCUUCGGGUUGUAAACCGCUUUCAAUUGUGACGAAGCUUUUUGUGACGGUAGCAGUAGAAGAAGCACCGGCUAACUACGUG
Molecule: ribosomal RNA, 466 nt
Filed under: uncultured bacterium
Lineage: Bacteria
Description: partial 16S ribosomal RNA
Rfam family: Bacterial small subunit ribosomal RNA
Source: RNAcentral